UACGAAGGGUGCAAGCGUUAAUCGGAAUUACUGGGCGUAAAGCGUGCGUAGGCGGUUGCUUAAGUCAGAUGUGAAAGCCCCGGGCUCAACCUGGGAACUGCAUUGGAAACUAACGGGCUCGAGUGUGGCAGAGGGGGGUGGAAUUCCACGUGUAGCAGUGAAAUGCGUAGAGAUGUGGAGGAACACCGAUGGCGAAGGCAGCCCCCUGGGCUAACACUGACGCUCAGGCACGAAAGCGUGGGGAGCAAACAGG
This 253-nucleotide ribosomal RNA is filed under the name uncultured bacterium. RNAcentral describes it as "partial 16S ribosomal RNA". It matches the Rfam family "Bacterial small subunit ribosomal RNA", at positions 524 to 776 of the family's 1533-position model. The record is from RNAcentral.